This 876-nucleotide ribosomal RNA is filed under the name Rhabditis sp. DF5059. Its description in RNAcentral is "bacterial SSU rRNA". It matches the Rfam family "Eukaryotic small subunit ribosomal RNA", at positions 39 to 966 of the family's 1831-position model. Lineage: Eukaryota; Metazoa; Nematoda; Chromadorea; Rhabditida; Rhabditidae. The record is from RNAcentral.
AAAGAUUAAGCCAUGCAUGUAAAAGUAAAUAUUCCGAAACUGCGAACGGCUCAUUAGAGCUUAUAUAAAGUUUUUGGCUGCCAUUUAGAAUAUCUUCGACAAAUUGAAGCUAAUACAUGCAUACAUGUCCUUUUCGAAGGGCGCAAUAUUAGAACUACUGGCUUGCCGGCGGUUGAUUUCAAUUAUCGUUUCGAUAUCGGAAGGCGACUUCCGAUGGCCAUAAACUGUGUACGCCCUAUCACCCAGCAGGUUAAUCAUUCGCUAACCAGGGGUAUUACGGGUAACGGAGAACUAGGGUUCGUCUCCGGAGAAGAAGCCUUUGAAAGGCUACUACAUCCAAGGAAGGCAGCAGGCGCGUAACUUAUCCACUACCACGGUGAGAUAGUAACUAGUCUUAACUAUUGACUGAUCUUUUAGGUUAGUCAUGGUCCAUGAGUUGAGCCUAAAUAGCUCUUCGAGGACCAAGUGGAGGGCAAGUCUGGUGCCAGCAGCCGCGGUAAUUCCAGCUCCACUAGCGUAAAAUAUUACUGCUGCGGUUAAAAAGCUCGUAGUUGAAUCUAGUCGUGUCCGUAGAGUUUGUCGUUGGCGUUUAUUCGUCUCUGGCGUUAACUCUCGGCCGAUUUUUGCUGGCCGCUGUUGGUCUUCGGACCUUUGGCGGCUAGCGAGUUACUUUGAUCAAAUCAGAGUGCUCAAAACAGGCGAAAGCUUGUAUGAUUUCUCGAGGAAUAACAGAAGAGGACUUCGGUUCUAUUUGUUGGUUCCAGAAUCGUUUAAUGGUUAAGAGGGACAAUUCGGGGGCAAACGUAUCCUCGCGCGAGGGGUGAAAUCCGUAGACCGUGAGGAGACGACCAAUAGCGAAAGCAUUUGCCAAGAAUG